GGGCUCGUAGCUUAGCCAGGUAGAGCAACGGGCUCUUAACCUAGGGAGAUACCCGUAGGUCCCGGGUUCGAAUCCCGGCGAGCCCG
This 86-nucleotide transfer RNA is filed under the name Acidianus filamentous virus 2 (isolate Pozzuoli). It matches the Rfam family "tRNA". Rfam says of the family: Transfer RNA (tRNA) molecules are approximately 80 nucleotides in length. Their secondary structure includes four short double-helical elements and three loops (D, anti-codon, and T loops). Lineage: Adnaviria; Zilligvirae; Taleaviricota; Tokiviricetes; Ligamenvirales; Lipothrixviridae. The record is from Rfam by way of RNAcentral.